This 389-nucleotide ribosomal RNA is filed under the name uncultured bacterium. RNAcentral's name for it is "bacterial SSU rRNA". It matches the Rfam family "Bacterial small subunit ribosomal RNA", at positions 28 to 429 of the family's 1533-position model. The record is from RNAcentral.
GAUUAACGCUGGCGGCGUGCCUAACACAUGCAAGUCGAACGAGGUAGCAAUACCUAGUGGCAGACGGGUGAGUAACGCGUGGUCAACCUACCGUUGAGUGGGGGAUAACUAGCCGAAAGGUUAGCUAAUACCGCAUACGUCUCCGAGAGGCAUCUCUUGGCGAUAAAAGGAGCAAUCCGCUCGAUGACGGGACCGCGUCCCAUUAGCUAGAUGGUGGGGUAACGGCCUACCANGGCUCCGAUGGGUAGCUGGUUUGAGAGAGCGACCAGCCACACUGGGACUGAGAAACGGCCCAGACUCCUACGGGAGGCAGCAGUGAGGAAUUUUCCGCAAUGGGCGAAAGCCUGACGGAGCGACGCCGCGUGUGGGAAGAAGGCCUCGGUCGUAAC